This is a non-coding RNA of Taeniopygia guttata (zebra finch), 3042 nucleotides long. NCBI's taxonomy places the organism in Eukaryota, Metazoa, Chordata, Aves, Passeriformes, Estrildidae. The record is from RefSeq and is a predicted model, not a curated record.
CUCCCUGCUCCUACUGGUCACACAAUUCCUAAUGCAGGCCAGGAUGCCAUUGGCCUUCUUGGCCACCAAGGCAAGAGUAGGUGAGUCUGUGAGUUCCCAAUGAAGGGCAGGUAGGUGUCCUUCCCUCCCCUCCAAAGUUGGGGAUAUCAUGGCCUCCUCUCUCUGUCCCUGUGCUGCAGGAGGAAGCAGGAGCAUCCAGGAAGGAGCCAUCAGGGUCUCCUGUCACAGACAGAGCACAGCUUCUGCUCCAUGGAGGGCGGUGAUGGAAGGAGGAACUGAGAGGCACAACUUCUUCAGAUCAUGGAAUUCUACCUGUGGUCUGCAGACCAAAGUUUCACCAGUUUUUUUCCUUCUCACCAUCCCUUUUUCACGUCUCUGGCAUAAAUAUCCUACACAAGUGUGUUCUGCCUCACAUCUACCCAACACAAGCAACACCUCAGCCAGCCCAAGGGUACUCAAGAGGUAACAUGAAAACACCUUCAGCAAGAGAAAAGGAAGUAUUGAAUAGGGGAUGGUGAGCAAGAUAAAAAACUGGAUGAAGCUGAAAAAAACUGUGGAUUUAUUCACAAAAUUUGGGGGGUUUAUCAACCCUAAUUUUUAUAAUAACCCAUGCUUUCCAGUACAUUUUGCCACGUGAACUCUGAUAGGUUUUGAUGCUUUAGUCAGAUAUUGCUGUUCUACUUGAUAUUUCCUCUGGUUAUUCCUGCACAGGUUCACACUCACCAUUGCAUUUCUUUCUCUUUUUUUUUUUUUUUUUUCCCCUUGCAAGAAACUCAUAAUCAGCGUCCCUGAAAAACUCUGCAGUUCAAGAGUGCCAUCUUGAGGCUUCCUACAUAUAAGAACUAUGUGCUGAUUGAACCUCCUGUAUUCAGGGAGUUAUUUACAUUUAAAAUAUCAUUUUAAAAGGCAUGAGAAUAUGCACAGAAGAGCAGUUAAUUUCUGCUGUGUAUUACCUGGAGUUAAGGGAUCCAGCCAACAGAAAUGUCACCCACAGUCAAAAGCAAACAACACUAGUGAGUGCUCUGCUUUGGGAUAUACUAUUUGAAAUGCCUCAGAAAAUACCUGUUGUUCAGACUGUGCUCAUUUCCAGCCUUCUGAAAAAUCAAUGAACUUCCAAAGUGUUUUAAGCCAGGUACUGAAAAUGAAUAAUUAUUAUUUUAAUUUCUUUUCUAUAAGAUGCAUGUUUGUAUAUUUAAGUUAAAGGCAAAUUUAGAGGGAAAAUAAGACUAUGGCUUUCACAAUUAUUUUAAGUCGAUAUGGGGAGAAUACUGCUUUAGAUAUUCCCGUGAUUUAAAAUAAAGGACAAACCUUCAUGCUUUGGAGCACAAGCUACGGGGUUAUUAUGAAAUCUUUCCCGUUCUACAGCAUAGUCCAGACAGCCGUAAUUUAUCCCUGCAGGAGAGCAAAUGGGUAGGUUGCUACAACAAAUCAUGCAUAGGUUGGGAAUUUACCGUUGAAAGUGGGAUGUUGCUUUUCACUCUUCCUGCUGUAGCUGCCAGGUGGCUUUGGGCUUGGGAAAAGGAUGUGUGCCAGCACGUUCACAAUGAAGUGCCCUAAGGAUGAGGCGCCACAGGAAACCAGAGACCCUCAAAAAUAUGCAUUGUUAGCACCACAAAUAACCCCAUGUUUCCUUGAGAUAGUUUUCAUUUGGAAGCCGAGCAGAAAUGUAAACCUUUCUGAAAGGAAUUGCCCGUGAUGUACAUCCCCCAGUUAUCAGGACUAUCAAAGUUGCACAAGUAUGCUCCUUUUGGUAUUUUUACAAGAAUUUUAGAUUGCUUUAGAUGGGAAGUCAUAAAACUGUGAAUUUGACUGAAGUCCAGAUGAAAAGCUAUCUACCUCCAGCUACAGGAAGAAGUCCUGCUUGUUUUCCAGCAGCAGCAGACUGCAGCAGAAGGUAAUUUUAUCCUCAGAAUUUUGUACAGCUACAACACAUCUCACAAAAGAAAUCCAGCAUCGGCUCUGAUCAUCCUUAAACUAUCAGGAUCUGAGUCAUAUCCCGGUCUGGAAGGAGGAGUGGGUUAUGUUCAAAAAUAGGACUGAAGGACACACAUCAGGAGACAAUCAUUUCACUGGAAGGAGAAGAACAGCUUGUCUGACUUGAGUUAAGCCAUCACUGCAGUGAUUUGGAGUGGUAAAUGCAGGAACAUUCCGGGGAUAUAGCUGUGAGGUAAGAAAACCAUUAGCGGUUUCAGAAGAUAUUUCUGCCAGGGACAUGCAGAUCAUUUUUUUCUAUUCCUGCAUGUGUAAGAAGUAUUUCCAGGAGAACUUAAAUAGCAUCACUUGCUUGAGAGUGUUGGAGCUCAUGCAAUGAGAACAGAAUAUGGAAAUUAACAAGUAAUAGAAAAGAAAACUGUUGUUUCAAACACUCUCUCCAUGCAGUGGGAAACACAGUGAGCUCCACUGGUGCUGCCAUCAGCAAAUGCCAACUGCACAUUGUGAAACGCUGGGUAUAGCUCUGUGAUAAGCUUAUGUACAUAUUUCUCUGCUUUAAGCAAAGAAACGUGAGAAAUGGGACCUACAAGAAAGAUUGUCCUUGAAGGAACUCUGAAAAAAUAAAACCAUGUAGAACCUGUAUAUAAUCCUCUUACCUUUAUGCAUUUUUUUUGAUCCAGUUGUAAAGUAAGAUGCCAAGUUCACCUGCCUGCCGGUCUAGAGCUAGAGAAAAAUGGAGAGGGAUGUAAGCGAAGACACCUAACCAACCUUGUGAGCAAAUAAGUGAAAAAAUCAUUUCAAAGAGAGAGUGUGUGUGUCCACAUGCAAAAUUGUACCAUGUGAUUGAUAGUAUAUAUAAAUACACAUAUGCUACAUUACAGCUGACUGAAUGAUUGUUCUGCAGUCAACCCCAAAAUUAUACAAAUGGGAACUUGCAAGUGUGUGUAGGCUGUGAGUUCCUCAUGGUGUGAGGAGGCACCAUGAGUGUUAUGUUCACCUUCACCAGUCAUCAUCCAAGCCAGCCGUGAUACAAAGCCACCAAUGUCAGUUCAACCAGACUGAAAUUUAAAAAACUAAUUGUAAAGCUGUCUAUAUUAAAAAUCAAAUCAA